Molecule: ribosomal RNA, 398 nt
Filed under: uncultured bacterium
Lineage: Bacteria
Description: bacterial SSU rRNA
Rfam family: Bacterial small subunit ribosomal RNA
Source: RNAcentral
AUUGAACGCUGGCGGCAUGCCUUACACAUGCAAGUCGAACGGCAGCACGGGAGCAAUCCUGGUGGCGAGUGGCGAACGGGUGAGUAAUAUAUCGGAACGUGCCCAGUCGUGGGGAUAACGUAGCGAAAGCUACGCUAAUACCGCAUACGAUCUAUGGAUGAAAGCGGGGGAUCGCAAGACCUCGCGCGAUUGGAGCGGCCGAUAUCAGAUUAGGUAGUUGGUGAGGUAAAGGGCUCACCAAGCCGACGAUCUGUAGCUGGUCUGAGAGGACGACCAGCCACACUGGGACUGAGACACGGCCCCAGACUCCUACGGAGGCAGCAGUGGGAAUUUUGGACAAUGGGCGCAAGCCUGAUCCAGCAAUGCCGCGUGCAGGAUGAAGGCCUUCGGUUGUAACU